This 436-nucleotide ribosomal RNA is filed under the name uncultured bacterium. RNAcentral's name for it is "bacterial SSU rRNA". It matches the Rfam family "Bacterial small subunit ribosomal RNA", at positions 354 to 796 of the family's 1533-position model. The record is from RNAcentral.
GUGAGGAAUAUUGCGCAAUGGGCGAAAGCCUGACGCAGCGACGCCGCGUGGACGAUGAAGGCCUUCGGGUUGUAAAGUCCUGUCAGGAGGGACGAAGCGGACUUGUCCGUGACGGUACCUCGGUAGGAAGCUCCGGCUAACUACGUGCCAGCAGCCGCGGUAAGACGUAGGGGGCUAGCGUUGUCCGGAAUCACUGGGCGUAAAGAGCUCGUAGGCGGUCUGUUUAGUCGGGUGUGAAAGCCCUCGGCUCAACCGAGGAAUUGCAUUCGAUACUGGCAGGCUAGAGUCUAGCAGAGGGAAGUGGAAUUCCCGGUGUAGCGGUGAAAUGCGCAGAUAUCGGGAAGAACACCGGUGGCGAAGGCGGCUUCCUGGGCUAUGACUGACGCUGAGGAGCGAAAGCUAGGGGAGCGAACAGGAUUAGAAACCCCUGUAGUCC